This 365-nucleotide unclassified non-coding RNA is filed under the name Hevea brasiliensis (rubber tree). Lineage: Eukaryota; Viridiplantae; Streptophyta; Magnoliopsida; Malpighiales; Euphorbiaceae. The record is from RNAcentral.
AGAUUGGGGCACUGGAGUAGCAAUCUUCCUGGAUUCAAAUUCAUACAAGAGUUCAGGUUCAAAUCAUUAAGCUCCGGACAAUUGAGAUAUAAUGCAUCUAAGCCAGAGCAACCCCAUAAGCUGAGUUUCUUCAAGUGGCUGUGCUUAAUAAUCAGUUUCUGAUAAAUAAGGUGUAAUUUACUACUUGGUGUUCUUUGUAUAUCAACAUUAUCAUUUUCCUGUGCUGCUGGACUGUCUAGAUCUGGAUCGCAUAUGCUCAUUCCACAAUCCAUUAGCUCUAGGUUAGGCAACUGAGCUGCAGCAAAUUGUAUGCCACUUGACGUAAUGUUUGGACAGAGAGCAAGGAGUAGUUUCAACAAUGUCUC